RNAcentral lists this ribosomal RNA (833 nucleotides) under Chlorellaceae sp. AS-2019. RNAcentral describes it as "SSU rRNA". It matches the Rfam family "Eukaryotic small subunit ribosomal RNA", at positions 127 to 974 of the family's 1831-position model. The record is from RNAcentral. Lineage: Eukaryota; Viridiplantae; Chlorophyta; Trebouxiophyceae; Chlorellales; Chlorellaceae.
GGUACCUACUACUCGGAUACCCGUAGUAAAUCUAGAGCUAAUACGUGCGUAAAUCCCGACUUCUGGAAGGACGUAUUUAUUAGAUAAAAGGCCGACCGGGCUCGCCCGACUCGCGGUGAAUCAUGAUAACUUCACGAAUCGCAUGGCCUUGCGCCGGCGAUGUUUCAUUCAAAUUUCUGCCCUAUCAACUUUCGAGGUAGGAUAGAGGCCUACCAUGGUGGUAACGGGUGACGGAGGAUUAGGGUUCGAUUCCGGAGAGGGAGCCUGAGAAACGGCUACCACAUCCAAGGAAGGCAGCAGGCGCGCAAAUUACCCAAUCCUGCACAGGGAGGUAGUGACAAUAAAUAACAAUACUGGGCCUUUUCAGGUCUGGUAAUUGGAAUGAGUACAAUCUAAACCCCUUAACGAGGAUCAAUUGGAGGGCAAGUCUGGUGCCAGCAGCCGCGGUAUUCCAGCUCCAAUAGCGUAUAUUUAAGUUGCUGCAGUUAAAAAGCUCGUAGUUGGAUUUCGGGUGGGGCCUGCCGGUCCGCCGUUUCGGUGUGCACUGGCAGGGCCCACCUUGUUGCCGGGGACGGGUCCUGGGCUUCACUGUCCGGGACUCGGAGUCGGCGCUGUUACUUUGAGUAAAUUAGAGUGUUCAAAGCAGGCCUACGCUCUGAAUACAUUAGCAUGGAAUAACACGAUAGGACUCUGGCCUAUCCUGUGGUCUGUACGACCGGAGUAAUGAUUAAGAGGGACAGUCGGGGGCAUUCGUAUUUCAUUGUCAGAGGUGAAAUUCUUGGAUUUAUGAAAGACGAACUACUGCGAAAGCAUUUGCCAAAGGAUGUUUUAUU